Molecule: ribosomal RNA, 495 nt
Filed under: uncultured bacterium
Lineage: Bacteria
Description: bacterial SSU rRNA
Rfam family: Bacterial small subunit ribosomal RNA
Source: RNAcentral
AAAGGAAUUGACGGGGGCCCGCACAAGCGGUGGAGCAUGUGGUUUAAUUCGAUGCAACGCGAAGAACCUUACCAGGUCUUGACAUCUGUGGGACCUUUACGAAAGUAGAGGGUGCCUUUUAGGAGCCACAAGACAGGUGGUGCAUGGUUGUCGUCAGCUCGUGUCGUGAGAUGUUGGGUUAAGUCCCGCAACGAGCGCAACCCUUGCUAUUAGUUGCUAACAUUUUAGGUGAGCACUCUAAUGGGACUGCCUGUGACAAGCAGGAGGAAGGUGGGGAUGACGUCAAAUCAUCAUGCCCUUUAUGAUCUGGGCUACACACGUGCUACAAUGGAUGGUACAAAGAGGAGCAAAACCGCGAGGUCAAGCGAAUCUCAUAAAGCCAUUCUCAGUUCGGAUUGGAGUCUGCAACUCGACUCCAUGAAGUCGGAAUCGCUAGUAAUCGCGAAUCAGAAUGUCGCGGUGAAUGCGUUCCCGGGCCUUGUACACACCGCCCGU